CACAGAGGUUCUACAGACAACAGCCUCCUUCACUCCACAACCUGGAUUCAGCCCCAGCACUAUCCACCAUGUGCACUGAAUGACACAGGGGUCUUCUGGAAAACAUAGUAUUAGUAUGAGUUUGUGGGGUCUCUGCCAUUGACUAUCACAGAAAGAUGAAAAGGGAACACAAGUCCUCUCUUCCCGUUAUCUGAAGAUGUGAGAAAAGGAAUGUCUCCAAAGUAAAAUCAAAAUAACUCAGGCCAGGCCUUGUGGACAACCUUUGACAGAAACAGCUUCCUUGAGGGAGCCAUUCCAGAGAGAUCAGCUUUUGAUUCCUCAAAGACAUCAAUCAUCCCCAUCUCUUGUAAAGGAGGCGAAAUAUCAGUUUCCCAUGUUUCAGCAACUGUUCUUUGAUGAAAAAGAAAGGACAGGGCAGGAUUGUGGUCAUGUUAUCAACUGCACUGCAUCAGCACCUGGAGAUUUCAGAAUUUGAUGAAAAGCUGAGAGCGUGAGAGAGAGGAAGGAAGCGAGGCAGAAAAUAACACACAAGGAAAAAGAGGCAGAAGAGGAUCUUAUGUGCCUCUGUGGUGCUGGCAACUAAGUAUCCCCAUCGAUGGACUGAGGACUGGCGGUCAUUUGUUUUUCAGGACACAAGCGAAAAACAAAGUUCCCUGAACAAGAGCAGGGUCUACUGGUCUUCUUCUUGGGAUGAAAAUCUUUCAAGCUGGUCUGUUCCUUCUUUUAUGGGUCAAGGGAGAUGAGAUGGGACAAGGUGGGAUGCA
Molecule: long non-coding RNA, 764 nt
Organism: Mauremys mutica (yellowpond turtle)
Lineage: Eukaryota; Metazoa; Chordata; Testudines; Geoemydidae
Exons: 5
Source: RefSeq, a predicted model, not a curated record